UUGGAGGGCAAGUCUGGUGCCAGCAGCCGCGGUAAUUCCAGCUCCAAUAGCGUAUAUUAAAGUUGUUGCAGUUAAAAAGCUCGUAGUUGAAUUUCGGGAUCAAUGUUUCGGUCAUGCCGUUGGUAUGUACUGAUAUUAUUGGCUUCUCACCUUCUAAAGAACCGUAAUGCCAUUAAUUUGGUGUCACGGGGAAUUAGGACUGUUACCUUGAAAAAAUUAGAGUGUUUAAAGCAGGCUCACGCUUGAACACAUUAGCAUGGAAUAAUGAAAUAGGACAUCCGAUUCUAUUUUGUUGGUUUCUAGGAUCGAUGUAAUGAUUAAUAGGGAUAGUUGGGGGCAUUAGUAUUCAAUUGUCAGAGGUGAAAUUCUUGGAUUUAUUGAAGACUAACUACUGCGAAAGCAGUUGCCAAGGAUGUUUUCAUUAAUCAAGAACGAAAGUUAGGGGAUCGAAGACGAUCAGAUACCGUCGUAGUCUUAACCAUAAACUAUGCCGACUAGGGAUCGGAUGAUGUUAAUUUUUUAAUGACUCAUUCGGCGCCUUACGGGAAACCAAAGUGUUUGGGUUC
This 566-nucleotide ribosomal RNA is filed under the name uncultured Glomeromycotina. RNAcentral's name for it is "SSU rRNA". It matches the Rfam family "Eukaryotic small subunit ribosomal RNA", at positions 548 to 1114 of the family's 1831-position model. Lineage: Eukaryota; Fungi; Glomeromycota. The record is from RNAcentral.